UUCGGUGUGGGAGUUACCAUUAAGCAUUCCCUGGGGAGUACGGCCCCAAGGUUAAAAUCAAAAAAUUGACGGGGGCACGCUCAAGCGGUGGAGCAUGUGGUUUAAUUGAAGCAACGCGCAGAACCUUACCAACCCUUGACAUUCCGUCGCGGACCCGAGAGAUUGGGUUUUCAGUUGGCUGGACGGAACACAGGUGUGCAUGGCGUCCUCAGCUCGUGUCUGAGAUGUUGGGUUAAGUCCCGCAACGAGCGCAACCCCCAUCCAGUUGCCAACAUUGAGUUGGGCACUCUGGUGGAACUCCGGUGCAAGCCGGAGGAAGGCGGGGAUGACGUCAAGUCCUCAUGGCCCUUAUGGGUUGGGCUACACACGUGCUACAAUGGCGGUGACAGUGGGAAGCGAAGUCGCGAGAUGGAGCCAAUCCCCAAAAUCCCUAUCAGUUCGGAUUGCCUUGCAACUCAUGCACGAAGUUGACCCGCUAC
RNAcentral lists this ribosomal RNA (479 nucleotides) under Azospirillum sp. RNAcentral describes it as "bacterial SSU rRNA". It matches the Rfam family "Bacterial small subunit ribosomal RNA", at positions 839 to 1338 of the family's 1533-position model. Lineage: Bacteria; Pseudomonadati; Pseudomonadota; Alphaproteobacteria; Rhodospirillales; Azospirillaceae. The record is from RNAcentral.